UACGGGGGGGGUAAGCGUUGUUCGGAAUUACUGGGCGUAAAGGGCUCGUAGGCGGCCAACUAAGUCGGACGUGAAAUCCCUCAGCUUAACUGGGGAACUGCGUCCGAUACUGGAUGGCUUGGAUUUGGGAGAGGGAUGCGGAAUUCCAGGUGUAGCGGCGAAAUGCGUAGAUAUCUGGAGGAACACCGGUGGCGAAGGCGGCAUCCUGGACCAACAUUGACGCUGAGGAGCGAAAGCUAGGGGAGCAAACGGG
Molecule: ribosomal RNA, 253 nt
Filed under: uncultured bacterium
Lineage: Bacteria
Description: partial 16S ribosomal RNA
Rfam family: Bacterial small subunit ribosomal RNA
Source: RNAcentral